GGGAGAGUUCCCGAGUGGCCAAAGGGGGCAGACUGUAAAUCUGUUGCUGUAUAGCUUCGGUGGUUCGAAUCCGCCCUCUCCCACCA
Molecule: transfer RNA, 86 nt
Filed under: Thermoclostridium stercorarium
Lineage: Bacteria; Bacillati; Bacillota; Clostridia; Eubacteriales; Oscillospiraceae
Also listed under: 3 other names
Description: tRNA-Tyr
Rfam family: tRNA
About the family: Transfer RNA (tRNA) molecules are approximately 80 nucleotides in length.
Source: RNAcentral